This 2924-nucleotide long non-coding RNA is filed under the name Gossypium raimondii (Peruvian cotton). Its description in RNAcentral is "long non-coding RNA (GRAI_LNC006734)". Lineage: Eukaryota; Viridiplantae; Streptophyta; Magnoliopsida; Malvales; Malvaceae. The record is from RNAcentral.
GAUUUCUCUUUAUUUUUCUGCAUUCUCAUCAGCAAAAACACCAUAGAAGGGUUUCCUUAAGCUGGUUUUUCAUAUUUUUACUGCAAGUAAGUUCAAUUCUUGAUCAUUUCUUGAAAUUUUUGUGUUUUUUGUGACUUUUACAACUAGGCCCACUUGUUGAAUUCAUUAGUUUUUUAUUCUAUGAAAGAAGUUGAAAGUUGCUAUGAAUAUGUGCUGCAAGUAUAUGAUGAUUUAGCAUGGAAUUAGAGCUUUAAAUUGUUUAUAUGCUGAUUUUAUUGAAAGAAUUGAAUAGAAAGUGAAUGUUUAGGACCUAAUAGUAAAACAAGUUAGGGUUUUAUGAGGAAAUUCUGAAUUUUAAUAAUUAUGAAUAACUUAUAAUGUCUAGGUAAAGUACUAAUUGAGAAAAAUUAGCUUAAUUGUGGGGUUAAUUGAGCAAGGACGGAAUUGUAUGAACUGUGAAAUUUGGGGAAAAAUGGAAAUCAAUAUUUUGCACUAAAACAGUUUUGAACAGCAGCAAUAGUUUAACUUUGAAAAAUCACCAAAAAUUGUGGGAAUUGAAUUAAAGAAUGAAUAAAAUAUGAAAUUAAAUCUUAUUGAGUCUAGUUUCUCAUAAAAGAAACGAUGCAAGUAAUGGAUUUGUAAAUUAUGAGAUAUAAUAAAUUUUGUGAGACAAGGUCAGAAUGAUUUUGGGUUCCCCUGUUUUGAAUUUGGAAAAUAAUAAAAAAUUGAAUAAAAAUAAUUAGGGGCUUAAAUUUAUAUAUUUAAAAUCCUGAAUAAGUCUAUUUUCAAUAGAAACAAACGGAAACAUCAUCCAAAUCCCGUACGAGGAGAUAAUUAAUUUUUAGUGAAGAAGGGUCGGAACUGUCUAGCAAUGAAACAGGGGAGACUUUAAAGAAUAAACUGUACUUAUUGGGUAAGCUAAAAAUUCUGAAAAUUUUAUGGUAAGAAGAUAUGUGAGUGUAGUUUCAUAUAAAAUUAACGGAUCUUAAUUUGGAGUUUUGUAACACAAGAUAUAAAUAAUUUAGUGACUCUGACUCAGAUAGACAGAUUUGAAUUUACUUAUAAGUAAAUAGUGAAAAUAUAGUUAAUGUUAUUUAAGCGUGUUAUAUACAUUAAGGAUGUGGAAUGGAGAAGAGGAGGAGGAAAAUUGGAAAAUAUAUGAAUGACUUGUGUAUAAAUCGGUCAUAUAUUCAAUCAUAAUCGAUAAAUGUUGAAUUAGAAAUGAUGUAAUGUUUUAUUUCAAAUAGUUACUAUGAGAUUGAUGAUGAUCUGAUUUUAGCUAAAUUAAAAGCUAAAGCGAUGUUUUCAUUGCAAAAUUAAUAAUUUCAUAAAUGUGUUAAUGAAUGGCAUAAUUGAUAAACGUCGAGUUAAAUGGUAAAUACGUAUUAGUAUUGAACUUAAUGAUAUUGAAUUGUAUGAGAAGUAAAUGGAAAUUUCUAUUGCUAGUGAUAUGAUUUGAAUUAAAAGAAUUAUUGUGAUAUUGAAAUGUAUAUUGGAUUGAGAAAUUGAUUUGAAUUGUGAACAUGAGAAAUUAUGAAUUGAAUGAAAUGGAAAUGAAGCAUUGAAUUGUUAAGACUUGUGAAUUGCAUGAAUAUAAAUCAGGUCUUGUAGGCCCUAUUUAUUAUGAAUAUAAUAUUUAGAGGAUAUAUUGUGAAGAAUUAUAAAAGCAUGUUAAAAAUUUGAAAGUUUUAAUUUAGAUGAAAUUUUAUAAAACGGUUAAAUACGUUUACAAGUGUAUGUGUUCUGGUAAUGCCUCGCACCCUAUUCCGGUGUCGGAUACGAGUAAGGGGUGUUACAGUCUGAGCUUUGAACCUCAUGGUAAGAUAAGCUGAAGGUUGGCUAUGUUUUGCUUUGUUGAGUCUAGUGGUUGCCGGUUUAGUGUUUCCAUUGAAGGUUCAAUUUGCUUCUUGAUCUGCAAUUUCUUUAUGUUUUCACAUUUGUGAGAUCUUUUCAUGUUCUUGCUGACUUGAUCUAUUACAUUGCUGGUGCUUAGUAGUUGCGUUCUUAUUGAAUCUUUCGAUUUUUUGGUUCUUGUUUUCUUGAUUUUUCUAGAUCUUUGAUUAAUUUUAGCUAAUCUAGCUCACGAUAUUUUGGUGUUCUAAUAAAGUUGUUGGUAGUAAUAUAUUUGAUUCUUGAGUCAUUGUUAAAUCUUCAUUGAUUUUCUGUUGAUCUAAUCAAUAAUUAUUGGUUUAGUUUUUCAUCUCUUGGGUAUUCAAAUGAAGUAAAUGGUUCUUGCUCACUUUUCAAUUGAUGAUAAGUGAUUUGCUCACAUAUUUAAAAUAAUUAAAAAUAGGGUAAAAUACAUCAACAAUCACUCAACUUUGAUCUCAAUAACAAAAAAGCUACUCAACUUUCAACUCAGUCACUUAACUUUCAAAAAAUAACAAGUCAGUCACGAACAUUAUCGAAAAGAGACAAAUCAAUCACCCACUAACAUUUUUCGUUACAGGCCUAACGAGACAGGUGAUGUGACCAGUUAACUUGCCGUGGUGGAAACCCAAAUUAAGAACCAAACAAGACAGUAAAAGAAGAAGAUGAAGAUGAAGAGAAGAGGAGGAGGAGGAGAAAAAUAAGAACUGGAGAUGCCGAAACAAGAAAAACCAUUAGAGAUCCAAACUUUUCCUUCAUCACUGUUUAUUCACCUCCUUCCCAACUUCUCGUCGCUUAACCUAGUGAAGAAGAUCUUCCAAUCGAUCUGUGACUUUCCUUAACGAUUUUAUAGAUUACCUUAAUAAUGUUUCAUUUGUGAACCAGCCUCAAUUUUUAAGGUCUUACUUAAGACGAUUAAGUCAAUUAAAUCAGUUUUAACCUACUUAUGCUCUUCCGUAUCCAUAAUGCUAGAAUGGUUCUAGUUGACUGAUUGACUCGUGAUAUAAAAAACAUGAGGCUUUAAUUGAAAUGGUAAAGUUAAAAUGUUAAAUACU